GCACAGGAGAGGGCGGCCCCCACUUCAUCUGCGGGACACAUGCACGCUUCAUUAUCAGCGGUUUCCUGCCCGAGGCUCUUGCAGUACGGCGGAGUGGGUCUCUAGCCAGCCUCCUGGGGUUCACAUGGAUUCGACUGAGCUCAGUUCAUCGCACCACUCCCUCCAAGACAGCUAGCGUCUGUAUCCUAAUAUGAACCCAGGAGCUCUGAGAAUUCCCUUACCGUUUUCCUAACAGAAAAUUGGAAGUGGAGGAGAUUCUGGGACUUUCUGGAGACUUUUCCCAUACAGUUGUGAACAGAGGAGGAAGGUCUUCAAGGAAAAUCAAAAAUCAUGGCCCCCUUUAUGGAGCACACACCGCGUGUCAAGCUCCGGUGUCAGAAUUUACCUCCUUUAGUGCCCAGGACAACUCUGAGUUCAGUGAUCUUGGCUCCAUUUUGCAAACAAAUAAACUGAGAAUCAGUGUGUUGAAGUUAGGAAUUAGGAAGAGUGCUACAGAGAAGGGAAGUUUGAACUCUUAGGAAGAGGAAGAGUCACCUGAAAUGUUAGUCUGCCUGUCUGCCUAUCCUACUUUAAAAGAGUCCAGAGGGUUGCUGUGCAGAUAGGGAUCUUCCAGAAAAUUCAGUGUUACCCCAGUUCCCAGCACAGGGUCUGACCCACAGUAGACACUCAGUGGCCACCUGCUAAGUGAGCUAGUGAGUGGGAAAGUAGGGCAGCAUUAUGCUAGGAGUUGCGCUGCCCCAAACUCUGGGGCUUGAGUUCCAGCUUCCCCACGUCUAGCAGUGUAGCUUUAAACUCUGC
RNAcentral lists this long non-coding RNA (798 nucleotides) under Chinchilla lanigera (long-tailed chinchilla). Its description in RNAcentral is "lncRNA (ENSCLAG00000022801.1)". The record is from RNAcentral. Lineage: Eukaryota; Metazoa; Chordata; Mammalia; Rodentia; Chinchillidae.